UUUUACAAGGAAUUAGAUAUAGUAAAGAAUUAGGAAAGUAUCUCCUAAUUGUACAAUGAUUUAUCACUUAUAUAAAACAUAGGAAAGUAAAUCCCUUAAUUAAUCAAGGAAGUAAACCUCCUUGAUUAAUUAGGAGACUUAUGUCAUCACGAAUGCCCAACUUGGUAAGUGAGUCAUGAUAUACUCUUCCACACUCACAGCAUAUGCAAUAUCUAAUCUUGGAGGACGUAUGAAGAGUAGAACCUUUGGUGGUG
This 254-nucleotide long non-coding RNA is filed under the name Prunus persica (peach). RNAcentral describes it as "long non-coding RNA (PPER_LNC004577)". The record is from RNAcentral. Lineage: Eukaryota; Viridiplantae; Streptophyta; Magnoliopsida; Rosales; Rosaceae.